ACGAACGCUGGCGGCGUGCUUAACACCUGCAAGUCGAACGGAAAGGCCCUGCUUUUGUGGGGUGCUCGAGUGGCGAACGGGUGAGUAACACGUGAGUAACCUGCCCUUGACUUUGGGAUAACUUCAGGAAACUGGGGCUAAUGCCGGAUAGGAGCUCCUGCUGCAUGGUGGGGGUUGGAAAGUUUCGGCGGUUGGGGAUGGACUCGCGGCUUAUCAGCUUGUUGGUGGGGUAGUGGCUUACCAAGGCUUUGACGGGUAGCCGGCCUGAGAGGGUGACCGGCCACAUUGGGACUGAGAUACGGCCCAGACUCCUACGGGAGGCAGCAGUGGGGAAUAUUGCACAAUGGGCGGAAGCCUGAUGCAGCAACGCCGCGUGCGGGAUGACGGCCUUCGGGUUGUAAACCGCUUUCGCCUGUGACGAAGCGUGAGUGACGGUAAUGGGUAAAGAAGCACCGGCUAACUACGUG
RNAcentral lists this ribosomal RNA (467 nucleotides) under uncultured bacterium. Its description in RNAcentral is "partial 16S ribosomal RNA". It matches the Rfam family "Bacterial small subunit ribosomal RNA", at positions 29 to 507 of the family's 1533-position model. The record is from RNAcentral.